This 501-nucleotide ribosomal RNA is filed under the name uncultured bacterium. RNAcentral's name for it is "bacterial SSU rRNA". It matches the Rfam family "Bacterial small subunit ribosomal RNA", at positions 8 to 524 of the family's 1533-position model. The record is from RNAcentral.
AGAGUUUGAUCCUGGCUCAGGGUUAACGCUGGCGGCGUGCCUAACACAUGCAAGUCGAACGGUUCUAAGCGCGAGCUUAGGAUAGUGGCGAACGGGUGAGUAAAAGGUAGGAAUCUACCCCUUGGACGGAGAUAGCUACUGGAAACGGUAGGUAAACUUCGAUAAGCCCGAGAGGGGAAAGUGGUGAGACAGCCGAGGGAUGAGCCUACUCUCCAUCAGGUAGUUGGUGAGAUAAAAGCUUACCAAGCCGAUGACGGAUAACCGGUGUGAGAGCAUGAACGGUCACAAGGGCACUGAGAGACGGGCCCUACUCCUACGGGAGGCAGCAGUGGGGAAUCUUGGACAAUGGGCGAAAGCCUGAUCCAGCGACGCCGCGUGGAGGAAGAAGUCCUUCGGGAUGUAAACUUCUGAACUAGCCGAAUAAAAGGCCUGUGGACACACAGGAGAAGAAAGUAGGCUAGGAAAAGUCCCGGCUAACUACGUGCCAGCAGCCGCGGUAAU